RNAcentral lists this ribosomal RNA (494 nucleotides) under uncultured bacterium. RNAcentral's name for it is "partial 16S ribosomal RNA". It matches the Rfam family "Bacterial small subunit ribosomal RNA", at positions 28 to 507 of the family's 1533-position model. The record is from RNAcentral.
GACGAACGCUGGCGGCGUGCUUAACACAUGCAAGUCGAACGGUGACGCGCCUUCCUUUUUGGUGUGUUUGGAUGAGUGGCGAACGGGUGAGUAACUCGUGAGUAUCCUGCCCCCUUCUUCUGGAUAACCGCAUGAAAGUGUUGCUAAUACGUGAUAUUCUGGGUCUGUCGCAUCAUGGGUCUGGGACAGUUUUUGUUUCGGUUGUGGAUGGGCUCGCGGCCUAUCAGCUUGUUGGUGGGGUGAUGGCCUACCAAGGCGACGACGAGUAGCCGGCCUGAGCGGGUGGACGGGAAGACAGGGGAGGAGACACGGACCAGACGACGACGGGAGGCAGCAGGGGGGAAUAUGGCACAAGGGGAGGAAGCCUGAUGCAGCGACGCCGCGUGAGGGAUGGAGGCCGGCGGGUUGAGAACCGCUGUCGCGAGUGAAGCAGGGCGGCCUCGUUUGUGGGUAGGUUGACGGUAGCUGGAGAAGAAGCGCCGGCUAACUACGUG